RNAcentral lists this ribosomal RNA (468 nucleotides) under uncultured bacterium. Its description in RNAcentral is "partial 16S ribosomal RNA". It matches the Rfam family "Bacterial small subunit ribosomal RNA", at positions 28 to 507 of the family's 1533-position model. The record is from RNAcentral.
GACGAACGCUGGCGGCGUGCUUAACACAUGCAAGUCGAACGGAAAGGCCCUGCUUUUGUGGGGUGCUCGAGUGGCGAACGGGUGAGUAACACGUGAGUAACCUGCCCUUGACUUUGGGAUAACUUCAGGAAACUGGGGCUAAUACCGGAUAGGAGCUCCUGCUGCAUGGUGGGGGUUGGAAAGUUUCGGCGGUUGGGGAUGGACUCGCGGCUUAUCAGCUUGUUGGUGGGGUAGUGGCUUACCAAGGCUUUGACGGGUAGCCGGCCUGGGAGGGUGACCGGCCACAUUGGGACUGAGAUACGGCCCAGACUCCUACGGGAGGCAGCAGUGGGGAAUAUUGCACAAUGGGCGGAAGCCUGAUGCAGCAACGCCGCGUGCGGGAUGACGGCCUUCGGGUUGUAAACCGCUUUCGCCGGUGACGAAGCGUGAGUGACGGUAAUGGGUAAAGAAGCACCGGCUAACUACGUG